Molecule: long non-coding RNA, 3473 nt
Organism: Canis lupus familiaris (dog)
Lineage: Eukaryota; Metazoa; Chordata; Mammalia; Carnivora; Canidae
Exons: 3
Source: RefSeq, a predicted model, not a curated record
GAAACUGGGGAAGAAAGAGAAAGAGGUUGUGAGGAACCACCUUGCAGUCCAGCCACUCAACAGGAACAGGAUGGCAUUUUGCACAAACUUUGACUUGUCUUGUUCCUUUAAUAUGGACACGACUCUCCCAGCCCCUGCUCCUCUACCUAGCCCUUCCUCUUUCUUCCCCAUCCCUACUUCUUGCUCCUCAUGCCUUUCUGUCCAUGUGUGCCUGACCUAUUGUCCUGGAAAGCCCCUGGAGAGGGCUUGGCUUGGAUGCAGCCCAGGAAGAGACUGGCCAUAUUCUCUCAUUUAUAGUUCUCCAAAGAUCCAGAGUGGACCAUAAAACAGGCUCCUAGUGUCCAGUCCUAAAGCACGUGAGAAGCCUGGUGACACCCAAGAACCAGGAAGAUGCCUGAGCUGCUGGAAGAGGGGACCUGGGCACAGAGAGAACACAAGAGCCAUGGGGACUGGUGUACCUGUUGUCAUUAAUAUCUGUAGCAUUUCCUGAAGGCAUCAUCAGUGAGAACACAGGAUUAGGAGAAGAAAAAAGAGACUGGGUGUUAGAGGCCGUCUCCCCACACCCUCUCUCAUCCUACCCCUUAGAGAUAAAGGUACGACUUUGGAGUACAGCUGCCACCUGGGUCUGUGGCACUCUAUUCUCCACCACCCCGGGUGCACGACCAUUUUGUUUGAGAAAGGUCUCCCUGAUUCCUGCUGAAGGAAAGGAGAAGGGGCGGCAGGGGAGGUGAGGACAGGCACGGCAACAGGGGGAACUCACUUCUAAGAGUCCAAGACCCCAAAGGGAUGGGCAGUGUUCAAGCUGUAGGUACAGGGUCACUUACUUCUCUUACACUUUUCAACUCUCCCUGGGGAUCCCAAAGGCUGGUCACCCAUCUUUUUCACUCACCAUUGUCCAUGUUGGCCUUCUGGUAGGACGCCAGGGGACCGCCAGAAGACGUGGCCCCACUGCUGGUACAGGAGUUUGCAAAGCUGGAUGGAGCAAGGAGAGAGAUGCAGAAACCUCUGGCACCCUCCCUCCACUGUGCCCCAUAAUCCCCUCAGGGAUGGAGCCAUACACACCUCCCAGGCCCAGAGAACAGAGGACAACCAAGAUGGCCACAGGCUGGGAAGGCAAUGCCCACUGUCUAAACAGAGGUGUGAAGAGGCUAUGAAGCCACUAAGGGAAAGAAUUAAGUGUCAGCCAAUAACUGACCCAACCUAGGCCUUCUGGAGUGUAGAGAGCCUUGGGUCAGGACUCCCGCCCACGCCUUGGGCCACUCACUACAUGUCUGAGGUGGAGCUUGGUGCACCCUGCAGGUACAAAUUCUGGUAGUUCUGGAAGAGGCUGUUGGUAUAACUGAUGCACUCAGGGCUCCGGGUGCCGUAGGGGUUAGUGGGUGAAGAUGCUGGGUAGUGGCCAGGCCGCACAGGUUUGGCUGUGGUAAAGAAAGGAAAAUGACGGUGAGGAGGCUGUUUCCCUGCAGUUGCCCUGGUUCCUGAAGUCAUUUAGCUGGAGCUGAACUGAGUUCAGCUAACAUCACUCACUUUUAUACAUGUGGGGGACGGUAGUGGGGUGAUCCUGGGGCAGAGGCAGGGUGAAAAGCGAUCAUCUAGGUGCUGGACACUUAGGAAUUUGCCGAUCUCCCCCAGGGGUAAUCCCACCUCAUCUGCUGCCACCUACUCCCACUCACCAAUCUGAGCAGAAUGGCCCCGCUUGCCGGAGCUCUUGUACCGAACGGCCUCCUUGAUGCGGUCCACCUCCUGCUGGUACCGGCGCUUGUCCUUCAUGGCACCUUCCUUGGCCUCCUUUAGUGCACCCUCCAGGGCCUUAACUCUCUCAGCCGUAGCCCUAAGUCGUUUUUCCAAUUUAGGAAGCUCACAACGCAGAUCUGCAUUGUCACGUACCAGCUGUGGGGUAAGCCCAAGGGAAGAGGCCAAAGCAAAGCCAGCAACCCAAGAGAGAGCCAGCAGUGGAGCGUGGGGGUGCGGGGCAGGGAGAGAGAAUAAAGAAAAAUCAAGUCAGACAAGACAGAGACCGCAUUCUUUCUUCGAAAGGCCUCAUUCCCUUCACCUAAUUGGUCCUCUGGUUCUCUCCUUCUCCCUGAGCAAACAGGGGUCAGGCAUUAAAAAGUCACAUCAUUUUCUGAGGAGUAAAACGUGCCAACUCCACUGUAGCUCAGAACUCUUGUGGCAGUGUCCUGUUCCCGUCUUUUCCUGGCCUAGCUACCCAUGCCCAAUAUCUCAUAGCUUGUGCCAGACCAGUAGCCCCAGGGCAACCAUGAGGCACCCCUCACCCAGAGAUGGCUUUGGAGGCAUGCAUGGGGCAGGGCGGCAAGAGCAUAGGAGCAGUCUGGAAGGUGGAUACGGUAUUGAGUGCAGGUUAGCUGCAGUGCAGAGCAGGAGCAGAAGCUGGAAUGUGGGAGCACCCGCCUCAUCCCCUCGUCCGCCCCCCACACACACACAUACAGCACCCCAUAGGAAGGAAAGAAAAUGUUUGAGGUCUUACAAACAUUUGUGCUCAUUACCUUCACAUUCAGGGAUUUCCUGGGGUGUCCCUCUCCCAUUUGAUUUAAGCUAGAGAGCAACCAUCUUGCAGCCAGAAAAAGACUCCCUGAUCUUUUUAUAGGGUUUCACACAAUGACUGGGGGCUCUCCAGCCUGCAGGAGCCGGCCUUGGAAGAUACCAGUCUUGUGUCUGCUGAGGUAGGACAUUAUGAGGAGUCCUCCAUCGUCUAGGGGAGUUGCUUUUGGUCGUUGGGACUUAGAGCAGAGAGAGGCAGCCACUUCAAUGAGGAAAACGGAAACAGCCCAGCCCUUGGUUUCCUGACACAUGCUACACUGUGGAUAAGCCUGGAGGACAUUAUGCUGAGUGCAGUUAGCCAGUUACAAAAAGACAGAUCCUGGAUGAUUCCACUUAUGUGAGGUACUCAGAGGAGUAAAAAUCACAGAGACAGAAAGAAGAAUGGUGUUUGCCAGGGGCUGGGAGGGAGGCACAAUGGGGAGUUACUGUUUAAGGGAUUCCCUUAAACAGUUUUACAAGACGACAGUGAUGGGGCAGGAUGGUAGGGGUGUUGCACCACAGCAUGAAUGCAUUUAAUGUCACUGAACUUAAAGAUAAGUAAAUUUUAUGUGGUGGUAAAUUUUAUGUGGGUUUUGUUUGGUUUUGUUUUAUCAUAACACAAAUAUUGGGGGGAAAUAAGCAAUAUGACGUGCAUUUGAACAGAGAAGGAAAGUGGACACACAGAAAGGGAAACAGAGUGGUAGAACUGAUUACAAAUGUUUCUUCCCUUGACUUUCAACUUUUCUGGAAUGUUGUUAUGUUGUUACACUGCUUUAUAAUAAACAAAGGGCGAAAGAGGAUAGUAUAGCCUUCUGCAGGCCCAAAUAAAAUAAAUGAACUCUGCAGAUCCUGACCAUUCUGGGAUUUUUUUUUUUUUUUUCAUUAUAGAUGUAAGAAAGAAAAGAAAGAAGAUGUACCAAGUAUUUGCUAAA